RNAcentral lists this ribosomal RNA (322 nucleotides) under uncultured eukaryote. Its description in RNAcentral is "partial 18S ribosomal RNA". It matches the Rfam family "Eukaryotic small subunit ribosomal RNA", at positions 1470 to 1796 of the family's 1831-position model. The record is from RNAcentral.
CCCUUAGAUGUUCUGGGCCGCACGCGUGCUACACUGAGUGGAUCAGCGGGCCAGGUUGCGCGAAAGUGUUUCCUAAUCUUGAAAUCCGCUCGUGAUGGGGAUUGACGGUUGCAAUUUUCCGUCAUGAACGAGGAAUACCUUGUAAGCGCGGGUCAUCAUCCCGCGCUGAAUACGUCCCUGCCCUUUGUACACACCGCCCGUCGCUCCUACCGAUUGAGUGGUCCGGUGAGGCUUUGGGAUCUGAGCAAAGAGAGCGUUUCGCUCGUUUUGCCCGGAAAACUCAGUCGAACCUUAUCAUUUAGAGGAAGGAGAAGUCGUAACA